GCCGGGCGUGGUGGCACGUGCCUGUAGUCCCAGCUAAUUGGGAGGCUGAGGUGGGAGUAUUGUUUGAGCCCAGGAGUUCUGGGCUGUCGUGUGCUAUGCUGAUUGGGUGUCUGCACUAAGUUCCGCAGCAAUAUGGUGACCUCCUGGGAGCAGGGGACCACCAGGUUGCCUAAGAAGGUGUUGACCAGCCCAGGUCGGAAACAGAGCAGGUCAAAAAUCCCAUGCUGAUCAGUAGUGGGAUCGUGCCUGUGAAUAGCCACUGCACUCCAGCCUGGGCAACAUAGUGAGACCCUGUCUCU
Molecule: signal recognition particle RNA, 299 nt
Filed under: Cebus imitator (Panamanian white-faced capuchin)
Lineage: Eukaryota; Metazoa; Chordata; Mammalia; Primates; Cebidae
Description: Metazoan signal recognition particle RNA (ENSCCAG00000005845.1)
Rfam family: Metazoan signal recognition particle RNA
About the family: The signal recognition particle (SRP) is a universally conserved ribonucleoprotein. It is involved in the co-translational targeting of proteins to membranes.
Source: RNAcentral